Molecule: long non-coding RNA, 223 nt
Organism: Cucumis sativus (cucumber)
Lineage: Eukaryota; Viridiplantae; Streptophyta; Magnoliopsida; Cucurbitales; Cucurbitaceae
Exons: 4
Source: RefSeq, a predicted model, not a curated record
AUAAUUUAUGUUGCAGACUUAUGAUGGAAUGUUUAUUAGAGAACAUUCUAGGGAAUCAAAUCUAGAUGUUAAUCUUGUAAGAACUAAAGAAAACUUACCAAUAUCCGUUCUGCUUGCAAAGAUGAAAACGUGAAGCUAUCUCCACCUCGACUUAGAUGAGUCUUGAAGAAGUGAUAGGAUAUAUUGCAUCUGAUGAACUUAUUAAGACCAUAUUGAAAAAAAA